RNAcentral lists this ribosomal RNA (774 nucleotides) under uncultured Bacteroidota bacterium. RNAcentral's name for it is "bacterial SSU rRNA". It matches the Rfam family "Bacterial small subunit ribosomal RNA", at positions 67 to 850 of the family's 1533-position model. The record is from RNAcentral. Lineage: Bacteria; Pseudomonadati; Bacteroidota.
GGUAUAGUAGCAAUACUAGAGACCGGCGCACGGGUGCGUAACGCGUAUGCAAUCUGCCUUUCACAGAGGGAUAGCCCAGAGAAAUUUGGAUUAAUACCUCAUAGUAUAGUACAACCGCAUGGUUGAACUAUUAAAGUCACAACGGUGAAAGAUGAGCAUGCGUCCCAUUAGCUAGUUGGUAAGGUAACGGCUUACCAAGGCUACGAUGGGUAGGGGUCCUGAGAGGGAGAUCCCCCACACUGGUACUGAGACACGGACCAGACUCCUACGGGAGGCAGCAGUGAGGAAUAUUGGUCAAUGGGCGCAAGCCUGAACCAGCCAUGCCGCGUGCAGGAUGACGGUCCUAUGGAUUGUAAACUGCUUUUGUACGGGAAGAAACAACUCUACGUGUAGAGUCUUGACGGUACCGUAAGAAUAAGGAUCGGCUAACUCCGUGCCAGCAGCCGCGGUAAUACGGAGGAUCCAAGCGUUAUCCGGAAUCAUUGGGUUUAAAGGGUCCGUAGGCGGUUUAGUAAGUCAGUGGUGAAAGCCCAUCGCUCAACGGUGGAACGGCCAUUGAUACUGCUAGACUUGAAUUAUUAGGAAGCAACUAGAAUAUGUAGUGUAGCGGUGAAAUGCUUAGAGAUUACAUGGAAUACCAAUUGCGAAGGCAGGUUGCUACUAAUGGAUUGACGCUGAUGGACGAAAGCGUGGGUAGCGAACAGGAUUAGAUACCCUGGUAGUCCACGCCGUAAACGAUGGAUACUAGCUGUUGGGAGCGAUCUCAGUGGCUAA